GUUUGGGAAUGCAGCUCAAAGUGGGUGGUAAAUUCCAUCUAAGGCUAAAUAUAAGUGAGAGACCGAUAGCAAACAAGUACCGUGAGGGAAAGAUGAAAAGAACUUUGAAAAUAGAGUUAACAGUACGUGAAAUUGCUGAAAGGUAAACGUUUGAAGUUAGUUUUGUAUUCGUUGGAUCAGCUUCGCAAGGAGUGUAUUCUGAUGAUAAGCAAGUCAACAUCAGUCUAUGAGUGUUGGAGAAGGGUUUUGAGAAUGUAGCAAUUUAAUUGUGUUAUAGCUUGAGACUUGGAUACGAUGCUUUGGAUUGAGGAACGCGUAGUAAGCUUUGAGCGGAUUCGAAAGGAUCUCCUUACUAUGGAUGUUGGUGAAAUAACUUUAAGCGACCCGUCUUGAAACACGGACCAAGGAGUCUAACAUGCUUGCGAGUAUUAGGGUGUUGAAACCCGAAUGCGUAAUGAAAGUGAAUCUAAGAUGUGAUCCGCAAGGUGCAACAUCGGCCAGUCCGGAUCAUUUAUGUAAAGGUACUGAGCAAGAGCAAGUAUGUUAGGACCCGAAAGAUGGUGAACUAUGCCUGGAUAGGG
Molecule: ribosomal RNA, 581 nt
Filed under: Melampsora magnusiana
Lineage: Eukaryota; Fungi; Basidiomycota; Pucciniomycetes; Pucciniales; Melampsoraceae
Also listed under: 2 other names
Description: eukaryotic LSU rRNA
Rfam family: Eukaryotic large subunit ribosomal RNA
Source: RNAcentral